GUCUACGGCCAUACCACCCAGAACACGCCUGAUUUCUUCUGAUCUCGGAAGCUAAGUGGAGUGGGGCCUGGUUAGUACUUGGAUGAGAGAGAGGUUUUUUUUUUGUUUUUGAGACAGCGUCUUGCUCUGUCACCC
RNAcentral lists this ribosomal RNA (135 nucleotides) under Propithecus coquereli (Coquerel's sifaka). Lineage: Eukaryota; Metazoa; Chordata; Mammalia; Primates; Indriidae. The record is from RNAcentral.